ACGGCUCAGUAACACGUGGACAACCUACCCUACGGAGGGGGAUAACCCCGGGAAACUGGGGAUAAUACCCCAUAGACUAUGGAUGCUGGAAUGCUCUGUAGCCGAAAGGUCCGCCGCCGUAGGAUGGGUCUGCGGCCGAUUAGGUUGUUGUUGGGGUAACGGCCCAACAAGCCUGUAAUCGGUACGGGUUGUGGGAGCAAGAGCCCGGAGAUGGAUUCUGAGACACGAAUCCAGGCCCUACGGGGCGCAGCAGGCGCGAAAACUUUACAAUGCGGGAAACCGUGAUAAGGGAACUCCGAGUGUCCGUAAAUGCGGACUGUCCGUAUGUUUAAAAAGCAUGCGAAGAAAGGGCCGGGCAAGACCGGUGCCAGCCGCCGCGGUAAUACCGGCGGCUCGAGUGGUGGCCACUAUUACUGGGCUUAAAGCGUUCGUAGCUGGGUUGUUAAGUCUCUUGGGAAAUCUACCGGCUUAACCGAUAGGCGUCCAAGGGAUACUGGCAAUCUAGGGACCGGGAGAGGUGAGGGGUACUUCAGGGGUAGGAGUGAAAUCCUGUAAUCCUUGGGGGACCACCUGUGGCGUAGGCGCCUCACCAGAACGGCUCCGACAGUGAGGGACGAAAGCUGGGGGAGCAAACCGGAUUAGAUACCCGGGUAGUCCCAGCCGUAAACGAUGCGCGUUAGGUGUAUCGAUGACCACGAGUCAUCGAGGUGCCGAAGGGAAACCGUGAAACGCGCCGCCUGGGAAGUACGGUCGCAAGGCUGAAACUUAUAGGAAUUGGCGGGGGAGCAC
Molecule: ribosomal RNA, 789 nt
Filed under: uncultured archaeon
Lineage: Archaea
Description: bacterial SSU rRNA
Rfam family: Archaeal small subunit ribosomal RNA
Source: RNAcentral